UUUCUAACAUAAUAAUAUAGUAUUCAAUAUUAGUUAGUAUUUUAUUCUAUUCCAAUUAUUGCUCAUUGUCAACUGGUAAUUUUAACAAUAAUUGUAUUAACGCAGCAUUUACUUAAAAUGUUGCGAAAAGUAUAUUCCUAUUUUAUAGGCUUUUGCAGGGAUUAACUAUAUUACUCAGUUGUAUUCUUAUUGUUCCAUUUGUUUCAUAAAAUAUAGCACAUCUAGGCAUUUAGCUCAUAGGAAUUAAGUUGAUAAUAUUUAAAUAAAAUCAUAAUUAAAAUGUUGAGAUACAGAGGAAAUAAAUUAACACUUAAUACCUAUUGUAAAAUAAUUGGAUUCAUUUCCUAAGGUUUAAGAAUAAAUUUAUGAACCAUCUGUUUAUAGUAAUGUUACACUGACAGUUAGGAUUAUGGUUAUUGAUUUCUGAAAUACAAUAUGUUUUACAAGAACAUUAUAUAUACAGAUUUGUACCAGACACGGACUAUGAAUCUAAACUUCCAAUUAACAUAGAUAUUACUGUUACAUCAACUUGUGAUAGUGCUGAUAUUGUUGAUACAACAGGACAAAAUAUGAUGUUAUUUGGAGAAUUAAAAACUGAUGAUACUUGGUGGGAAAUGACAAAAGAAUUGACACAACAUUUCGAAAAAAUGCGUGUAUUCAAUGCAUAUUUAAGAGAAGCAUAUAAUUCAAUGAAUGACAUACUAUGGAUUUUUGAUAAUUAUAAUACAUUAAAAAAUAAAUUAUCUGUUAAUAGGUACUACAGGAAAUCUAUUUGUUUGCUUCAAACUUGCUUCAAGCUUCUGGAAUUAGAUGAUCAUCCAUAGAAUAUGAGUUGAGUAUGGAAAUUGGAAGCCCUGUGCAUGGACUAUUGAUCGAUUCUUAGCUUUCCGAAGAACUGUAUUCAUUAUAUUGGCAUGCAGAAAUUAUUUCUGAAGCUUCCUCCUUUAUACGCAAUAGAGAAUUGCUGGAGGACAAUGUGCCAUAGACUUAUCAAAAGUGAAACUAGACAAGACAUCUUCGGGUAAGAUUUGUGUGUCCAUGUAUUACAACAAAACUGCAUGCAUCAGGAUGAACUUGAAGUAUCGUAGUCUUGACGGUUCUUGUAAUAACUUGAAACGUUCCUCCUCGGGAAAAGCAUCCACGGCUCUAUAAACGUUUGCUCUUAAUAACUAUAUGGAUAGUUUUAAUGAAGUUUUCGAAGAUUCUUUUUCGUCUUACAAUCCAAGUCCUAGAAAGCUGAGGGUUGAAUUUGUCAAAGACGAGCACUCACCAGAUUACUUCAAAACGAUGGCAAUUGCGUACUGGACGAUUUUUGUAGGCCAUGAUCUAUCUCACGCGGAAAUUUCUAGAAUGAUGAAUAGUAAUAAGUCUGUGAGCUGUUGUUCAAAUAGCCGGAAGGAGCUCAUGCCUCGAGACAUACACCUCGAGUUGUGCUUGCAAGUAGUGAUACUGGGUAAAGAUCCAUUUUUCAGAAACCAUAUUCGUUUUAUGAACUACGGUCGUUUGGUGCCAGCUGUGUGUUCCGAUUGUACUUUUGACCCAAGGAACAAAAUACAACACAACCUUGUACUGUAAUAAGCUUCCAAACCAAUAAAAACAGUUGAUUAAAAAUUCUAAAAAAAAAUGUUGGAUUCAAAUACCAAAGUAUACUGAAGCAUGUAAUAUACUAGUAAUUGAACAAAUUGUCUUCAUUAAAUGUUUAUGUAAGUAAUUCAUGAUGUGUAAUGUGUUAGAAAAUGAUUUAUUGUGUGUAGUUGGUAUUUAAUAAAAUAUUUUAUCUGGUCGAUUUUAAUCAACUACGUACUAAUGAGGAAUACGAUUACUUUUCUACUUUUUGUUAUAUUUUUAUUUUUGAAAUAUAAUAUUCAAUUUAUUCAAAUUACUUAUAAUAGUUUUUUAAAAUAAAUAUGUUUUUGGGCUGCAUACACGAUAAAAUGUUAAUAAAUGAUUUUAAAAUAUACCAGUGGUAGGUAAUGUAGCAUUAAUUUGAACUGUAUACCUAAUAUAUUUUUAGACUACAAAAUAAAUUCCAAAUUCAGGUCAAUGUAUUGAGACAGAUAUUAAAUAAUUGCAUGAUGAUCAGUCUCUAAAGAGUUUUAACGUACUAAGAUUUUCCUUAUUAGUCUCAAUUUAGUUUAAGUAUAGUAUUUAAUUUAAUAGUUAUGUAUAUUUUUCAAUUUUUGUUUAUUUUAGGAAGUGCAGUUCUUAGCCCUAAUACUAAACUCAAUAAAUGUGUUGUAUUGGACAUUAAUGUUAUGGAAUACCUAUAAAUACCAACAUGUUCCUACACAUCUCAAAUAAAAAUUAAGCUGUUAAUAUAUUUUGUUAAAAAAUAACAACCGUAAAAUCAACCUACCGUACCAACCUUACUCCUACCACAGUUCAUAACCCCUACAACAGCUAAUGGCCCUAGUUGCCGAGCUUUAGUUCAAUAAUAAAAAAAAAAAAAAAUUUUAAAUAUAGUCUUGCAUUGAACAAAUUAUUCAAUUGAGUAGAUGAGAUAUAUGGGGAUUUGUAGUUGUAUAAUUCAGGUAAAUAAUCAUCCCUGCGACCUGAAGUUAUACAGCUUUAUAAAAAAUAAAAUUUCAAAAUACUCAUUAAUAUGGUUAAUGCCCAUUUAAUUUCCACCAUACCAUAAAGUCAAAUGCUCCUCUGAUUUUAAACAAUUUUAUCUUUGAGGCAUUAAUAAAGGAAAAAUGUGAUAGCAAUAUUAUUAGGUACUUAUAUAUUUUAUUUAAUCUAUUUACAGUUGAAUUAUGAUAAGUCUCAUAAACAUUCAAAACAGAAUAAUAGUCAAAUUUUAUUUCUUUUAACUUUUUUAUUCAAAUUUUAAAUAAUCUCUAAUAAACAAAUUGA
RNA transcript from Metopolophium dirhodum (rose-grain aphid), 2856 nucleotides. RefSeq lists it as uncharacterized. The transcript has 9 exons. Lineage: Eukaryota; Metazoa; Arthropoda; Insecta; Hemiptera; Aphididae. The record is from RefSeq and is a predicted model, not a curated record.